This 305-nucleotide ribosomal RNA is filed under the name uncultured bacterium. RNAcentral describes it as "bacterial SSU rRNA". It matches the Rfam family "Bacterial small subunit ribosomal RNA", at positions 333 to 655 of the family's 1533-position model. The record is from RNAcentral.
GUUUGCCUACGGGGCGCAGCAGUGGGGAAUAUUGCACAAUGGGGGAAACCCUGAUGCAGCAACGCCGCGUGAGUGAAGAAGUAUUUCGGUAUGUAAAGCUCUAUCAGCAGGGAAGAAGAUGACGGUACCUGAUUAAGAAGCCCCGGCUAACUACGUGCCAGCAGCCGCGGUAAUACGUAGGGGGCAAGCGUUAUCCGGAUUUACUGGGUGUAAAGGGAGCGUAGACGGAAUUGCAAGUCUGAUGUGAAAAUCCGGGGCCCAACCCCGGCACUGCAUUGGAAACUGUAUUUCUAGAGUGUCGGAGA